UACGUAGGGGGCGAGCGUUGUCCGGAUUUAUUGGGCGUAAAGAGCUCGUAGGCGGUUCGAUAAGUCGGACGUGAAAUCUCCACGCUCAACGUGGAGGGGCCGUUCGAUACUGUCGUGACUCGAGUCCGGGAGAGGGAUGCGGAAUUCCAGGUGUAGCGGUGAAAUGCGUAGAUAUCUGGAGGAACACCGGUGGCGAAGGCGGCAUCCUGGACCGGCAUUGACGCUGAACAGCGAAAGCCAGGGGAGCAAACGGG
This 254-nucleotide ribosomal RNA is filed under the name uncultured bacterium. RNAcentral's name for it is "partial 16S ribosomal RNA". It matches the Rfam family "Bacterial small subunit ribosomal RNA", at positions 524 to 776 of the family's 1533-position model. The record is from RNAcentral.